Molecule: ribosomal RNA, 119 nt
Filed under: Cyanobium sp. NS01
Lineage: Bacteria; Bacillati; Cyanobacteriota; Cyanophyceae; Synechococcales; Prochlorococcaceae
Source: RNAcentral
UCCUGGUGUCCAUGGCGCAGUGGAACCACACCGAUCCAUCUCGAACUCGGUUGUGAAACGCUGCAGCGCCGACGAUAGUUGGGGGGAAGCCCCCUGAGAAAAUAGGUCGAUGCCAGGUA